Long non-coding RNA from Sarcophilus harrisii (Tasmanian devil), 909 nucleotides. RefSeq lists it as uncharacterized. The transcript is spliced from 3 exons. NCBI's taxonomy places the organism in Eukaryota, Metazoa, Chordata, Mammalia, Dasyuromorphia, Dasyuridae. The record is from RefSeq and is a predicted model, not a curated record.
GGCUCCGACUUCUCCCACCCGCGGCUGGCUCAGCUUUCCUGCCGGGAGGGGAGCGGCGGCUUGCUCGCUGGCCGGCUCGGGCCGCGGCGUCGCGCCGCUAGUAGUCGGGCGCUGUAGCUCUCGGCGCGGCCGGCUGAGCCCCGGGGAGGCGGGAAUUCACGGCUGCGGCUCCGCGGUCAUGCUGCUUGCGGAGAUACACUCCAAGAAGAUGAAUUUUUGGUUCCCCCAACGCCUAAUUCUGAUGCUUCAUCAUGGCCAGGAAGUGAUGUUGUCAGGGAAGCAUAAUCUCUGGCAAGACUUCUCAAGCUGAAAAGACUUCAAAUCCAAAUAGUCUCUAUACCUGCUGUCUGAGGCACAACCAAAGUUAGUUUGGAGCAGCUUAUCAAGCCAGCAAAUUGGGAGUCCUUCCUUGGGAAUGAAGGUGGGGGUGAUCAUCUGCAAUGUCUGAGGAAUACCUACCUUGAUGAAACCGCAGAACUUCUCGUGUUUCCUUCUAGCACAGUAUGAAACUGCUAACUACUCUAUUCACCUCUCAGAGGAGCACCUAUCUGUCACCCUUGCUGUUGGACAGAGCCAGAACCUGAAUUCUGAGGUACCUGUGAUUUGAAGAUUUGAAGAACAUACCCUCAUGUGUGGUCAUCUAUGAGAAAAUUUGAGCUGCCACUGUUUCAUAUCCUUUUGACUUACCACAAUAAACAUCUUUGGGCUUUAGGAGAAUGGCUUUUUCUCCCUGUAAAUUUGUUUUUUAAAAAAGUAUAUAUUAAAGAGUGUUCUUCUCUGUGUCCCUGCAUUUUGCACCUUUGGAAGUUUCCUUUUUUGCUAUCCCUGGUCCCAAACUGUUUUCAAAAUUUCCCAGAUGGCCUGUGGGUGCAGCUUUAGAUUUCUUAGAACAAAAAUGAUAAUAGAUAA